RNAcentral lists this ribosomal RNA (867 nucleotides) under Agaricus linzhiensis. RNAcentral's name for it is "partial large subunit ribosomal RNA". It matches the Rfam family "Eukaryotic large subunit ribosomal RNA", at positions 67 to 921 of the family's 3401-position model. Lineage: Eukaryota; Fungi; Basidiomycota; Agaricomycetes; Agaricales; Agaricaceae. The record is from RNAcentral.
AACAAGGAUUCCCCUAGUAACUGCGAGUGAAGCGGGAAAAGCUCAAAUUUAAAAUCUGGCGGUCUUUGGCCGUCCGAGUUGUAAUCUAGAGAAGUAAUGCCCGUGCUGGACCGUGUAUAAGUCUCCUGGGAUGGGGCGUCAUAGAGGGUGAGAAUCCCGUCUUUGACACGGACUACCAGUGCAUUGUGGUAUGCUCUCAAAGAGUCGAGUUGUUUGGGAAUGCAGCUCAAAAUGGGUGGUAAAUUCCAUCUAAAGCUAAAUAUUGGCGAGAGACCGAUAGCGAACAAGUACCGUGAGGGAAAGAUGAAAAGAACUUUGGAAAGAGAGUUAAACAGUACGUGAAAUUGCUGAAAGGGAAACGCUUGAAGUCAGUCGCGUUGGCCGGGAAUCAGCCUUGCUUUUGCAUGGUGUACUUUCUGGUCGACGGGUCAGCAUCAAUUUUGAUCACUGGAAAAGGCUCAAGGGAAUGUGGCAGCUUCGGCUGUGUUAUAGCCCCUGUUCACAUACAGUGGUUGGGAUUGAGGAACUCAGCACGCCGCAAGGCCGGGUUUCGACCACGUUCGUGCUUAGGAUGCUGGCAUAAUGGCUUUAAGCGACCCGUCUUGAAACACGGACCAAGGAGUCUAACAUGCCUGCGAGUAUUUGGGUGGAAAACCCAGGUGCGCAAUGAAAGUGAAAGUUGAGAUCCCUGUCGUGGGGAGCAUCGACGCCCGGACCAGAACUUUUGGGACGGAUCCGCGGUGGAGCAUGUAUGUUGGGACCCGAAAGAUGGUGAACUAUGCCUGAAUAGGGUGAAGCCAGAGGAAACUCUGGUGGAGGCUCGUAGCGAUUCUGACGUGCAAAUCGAUCGUCAAAUUUGGGUAUAGG